Molecule: long non-coding RNA, 1081 nt
Organism: Neofelis nebulosa (Clouded leopard)
Lineage: Eukaryota; Metazoa; Chordata; Mammalia; Carnivora; Felidae
Exons: 4
Source: RefSeq, a predicted model, not a curated record
CAGGCUCCAGGCUCCGAGCUGACAGCACAGAGCCCGACGUGGGGCUCGAACUCACACACCGUGAGAUCAUGACCUGAGCCGAAGUCGGAUGCUCAACUGACUGAGCUACCCAGGCGCCCCCAGCCUGAUCGUUUUAAAUCACUGCUUGCUUUGGCCUACCUGCCAGGCCCUCUCUUCUGGCUGAGGCUUCAGAGGCUCCGUGUUGGUCCACUCCCCCCUCUUCAUCCAAUCCAUGGCCCCCCGAGGGAAAUCCAGACAGUCUGCUGAUAAUUCUUAGCUCCUUUCUAAAUGUGCACUCUUAGCAACUAAAACCAGUUCAAACACCCCUCUCUUCCACGAGGCCUCAUAAAGUGCCUUACACAGAGCACCACUCAGGACAUCUUGGUCGAGUGAAUCAAUAUGUGCGUAUUCCCAGCUCAGGAUAAACUCGUGCUGCGAACAACUUAGCUACCGGCCAGUCAUCGAACUGCUCUGAGACUACUUGGCACCACAGACCUCCGGAAUACCGUCCACCUGGAACUGGGAAAAACUCAGGGAACACAGAGACAACGAGGAACCGAGUUUCUGUGCUUGAGGAGCCCUCGGUGUGUGGUCGGGGUGAGCCGGCUGUCGAUGUAAAUGUUGAACCCAUGAAAGGCUUACCACGUUUGAACUAGUUCUGAUAGGGGUAGGACAGAGUCCACGCUUCCUCACCCCUGUCUACAAGCAUGCGCCAUGCCUCCAGCCACAACCACAGGACUCAUGGACUCCACUCAGAGUCAGACUGGUCUAAUGGCAAGAAGCAACGGACUAGGAAUGGGGAAGAUGAUAAAGCAGGUUAUACAGUUCUUGACAUGCAGAAAAUGAUCAAUAGAGGUUAGUUGGUGUCAUCAUUGUUAGGUGUGGCCACUUAAACAUAUGACUUUAGGCAAGCUGCUGGGACUCUCUUAUAGAUUAGAGUGGCUUGCCUACACUCUGGGGUUCCAGCGAUAAUAAAUGAAGAUAAAGACAAUGAGAAAUGCUUUGAAAAAGGACAAUCGAAGGCAAGACCUUGUGAUUUCCCUUAUCACCCAACAAGCUUCUGGAACCACAUCAUCACUAG